RNAcentral lists this ribosomal RNA (253 nucleotides) under uncultured bacterium. Its description in RNAcentral is "partial 16S ribosomal RNA". It matches the Rfam family "Bacterial small subunit ribosomal RNA", at positions 524 to 776 of the family's 1533-position model. The record is from RNAcentral.
UACGGGGGGAGCAAGCGUUGUUCGGAUUUACUGGGCGUAAAGGGCGCGUAGGCGGCCUUCUAAGUCGAACGUGAAAUCCCUGGGCUCAACCCAGGAACUGCGUCCGAUACUGGAAGGCUUGAAUCCGGGAGAGGGAUGCGGAAUUCCAGGUGUAGCGGUGAAAUGCGUAGAUAUCUGGAGGAACACCGGUGGCGAAGGCGGCAUCCUGGACCGGUAUUGACGCUGAGGCGCGAAAGCCAGGGGAGCAAACGGG